ACGGAGGGUGCAAGCGUUGUUCGGAAUUAUUGGGCGUAAAGGGCGUGUAGGCGGGUAUGCAGGUCAGAUGUGAAAGCCCUCGGCUCAACCGAGGAAGUGCAUUUGAAACCGUAUAUCUUGAGUACGAGAGAGGCAGAUGGAAUUCCCAGUGUAGAGGUGAAAUUCAUAGAUAUUGGGAAGAACACCGGUGGCGAAAGCGGUCUGCUGGCUCGAUACUGACGCUGAGACGCGAAAGCGUGGGGAGCAAACAGG
This 252-nucleotide ribosomal RNA is filed under the name uncultured bacterium. Its description in RNAcentral is "partial 16S ribosomal RNA". It matches the Rfam family "Bacterial small subunit ribosomal RNA", at positions 525 to 776 of the family's 1533-position model. The record is from RNAcentral.